UACGUAGGGACCGAGCGUUGUCCGGAAUCAUUGGGCGUAAAGAGCGUGUAGGCGGCCACUUAAGUCCUGCGUGAAAUCUUGCGGCUCAACCGCAAGCGGUCGUGGGAAACUGGGUGGCUAGAGUGCGGGAGAGGAGAGUGGAAUUCCUGGUGUAGCGGUGAAAUGCGCAGAUAUCAGGAAGAACACCCGUGGCGAAGGCGGUUCUCUGGGCAUUACCUGACGCUGAGGAGCGAAAGUGUGGGGAGCGAACAGG
RNAcentral lists this ribosomal RNA (253 nucleotides) under uncultured bacterium. Its description in RNAcentral is "partial 16S ribosomal RNA". It matches the Rfam family "Bacterial small subunit ribosomal RNA", at positions 524 to 776 of the family's 1533-position model. The record is from RNAcentral.